Ribosomal RNA from Streptomyces sp. MMG1533, 77 nucleotides. It matches the Rfam family "Bacterial large subunit ribosomal RNA", at positions 2848 to 2925 of the family's 2925-position model. NCBI's taxonomy places the organism in Bacteria, Bacillati, Actinomycetota, Actinomycetes, Kitasatosporales, Streptomycetaceae. The record is from Rfam.
CUGGGUUGAUAGGCCGGAUCUGGAAGCACGGUAACGUGUGGAGGUGACCGGUACUAAUAGGCCGAGGGCUUGUCCUC